CUUAACACAUGCAAGUCGAGCGGGCGUAGCAAUACGUCARCGGCAGACGGGUGAGUAACGCGUGGGAACGUACCUUUUGGUUCGGAACAACACAGGGAAACUUGUGCUAAUACCGGAUAAGCCCUUACGGGGAAAGAUUUAUCGCCGAAAGAUCGGCCCGCGUCUGAUUAGCUAGUUGGUGAGGUAAUGGCUCACCAAGGCGACGAUCAGUAGCUGGUCUGAGAGGAUGAUCAGCCACAUUGGGACUGAGACACGGCCCAAACUCCUACGGGAGGCAGCAGUGGGGAAUAUUGGACAAUGGGGGCAACCCUGAUCCAGCCAUGCCGCGUGAGUGAUGAAGGCCCUAGGGUUGUAAAGCUCUUUUGUGCGGGAAGAUAAUGACGGU
Molecule: ribosomal RNA, 385 nt
Filed under: Bradyrhizobium japonicum
Lineage: Bacteria; Pseudomonadati; Pseudomonadota; Alphaproteobacteria; Hyphomicrobiales; Nitrobacteraceae
Description: bacterial SSU rRNA
Rfam family: Bacterial small subunit ribosomal RNA
Source: RNAcentral